This 104-nucleotide ribosomal RNA is filed under the name Paenibacillus sp. 276b. The record is from RNAcentral. Lineage: Bacteria; Bacillati; Bacillota; Bacilli; Caryophanales; Paenibacillaceae.
GCGGAGGGGUUCCACACGUACCCAUCCCGAACACGACCGUUAAGCCCUCUAGCGCCGAUGGUACUUGGACCGCAGGGUCCUGGGAGAGUAGGACGCCGCCAAGC